CACCGGCAAUUACCUCGUCAAGCCGCCGCCUCCAAAUAGAGAGAAAGAACAUGUCUUCCCCAAAAUUCUUCUUUCCCUUUGAAAUCACCACCACCACCAAACUCUCAACACCACCUCUAACAAUCACAUCUCCACGCUGCCGCCGCUGCCCUUGCUCCUUCCUUCCACCACCCGUCUUCUCCGCUCUUCUCGUCCCUUCCACCGCCAAAUUUUUUUUGCCAGUUCCACACCAGUCGAUUCUUCUCUUGCAAAUUCUAGAAUCUUAGCAAGCCUAGCAACAUUACUAAACUCCGGCCAAAGCUCUAAUCGCCACCACCGCCAAAGCCCUAAUCGUCGCCAUUGUCGGAGAAGACGAUAAAAAGCAGAAAACAGCGGGGAGGUUUGGAUCCGGAAGCAUCAGGUAGCUUCCAUAAUUGUGGGUUACUAUCGGGAGACGCCGGAGAAGACACCAUAAAAUGCAAAAAAUAGUUUUUUUUCUCUAAAAGCUCUGUUUUCGAUGGUUUUCGAUAUGGGCAGAUAUUUUCUUGGAUUAUCAUGGGUUGUUGAUGAGUUUUGGACAAGAAUAAUAAUGAACUUGAAUCUUAGCUCGAAUCGAACCAAAUUUCGUCAGAGAAAUCGUUGGAGUGGUGGGGCGAAGCAGCUGAGGAUAUGGAGGGAGGUGAGGUUGCAGAGAGUGUUCGCCGGAAGGAGAGCGGCGGUCAGUUGUGUUCAAUGUAUUUUUGGAAAAUUGCAAAUCAGCCCCUGACUUAAGGAAGAAGAGGGCUUUUCUGAAACUUCAAGGGACCGAAUUGAAAAAAAAAUGAAAAAAAAUUUUCGGGCUUAUUUUUGAAAUUUAUAAUGUAAAGGGUAUUUUGGUAUUUUCAAGUCAAAAAUCAAACCCCAAUUAUAUUUGGCGAGUGUAUCACACGUCCACCUCAUAGGGGCCUCAAUGUCGUUGACUAUGUAACACAAGAGGGUAUGUGCUAAUUGUUUUAACACAGGGGCUUUUGCAGCCAUUAGACAUUACAUAGAGGUGCCGGAUUCUAAAACCACAUAUGAGAUAACUUGAAUGCGGAAAUAUAUUGGGAUUUUGGCCCAACUGUUUUUUGUUCAUCUUUGGCCCAAUACCAGCAUACAACCAGCCCAUCUUGGAGCGAGC
This 1138-nucleotide long non-coding RNA is filed under the name Erythranthe guttata (spotted monkey flower). Its description in RNAcentral is "long non-coding RNA (EGUT_LNC003449)". The record is from RNAcentral. Lineage: Eukaryota; Viridiplantae; Streptophyta; Magnoliopsida; Lamiales; Phrymaceae.